ACCUUCUUACGAAGGUAUGCUUAAAGAGGGGCUUGCGCCACAUUAGUUAGUUGGUAGAGUAAAAGCCUACCAAGACGAUGAUGUGUAGCUGGACUGAGAGGUUGAACAGCCACAUUGGGACUGAGACACGGCCCAAACUCCUACGGGAGGCAGCAGUAGGGAAUUUUCGGCAAUGGAGGAAACUCUGACCGAGCAACGCCGCGUGAACGAUGAAGUAUUUCGGUAUGUAAAGUUCUUUUAUUGAAGAAGAAAAAGUAGUGGAAAAACUAUAUUGACGUUAUUCAAUGAAUAAGCCCCGGCUAACUAUGUGCCAGCAGCCGCGGUAAGACAUAGGGGGCGAGCGUUAUCCGGAAUUAUUGGGCGUAAAGGGUGCGUAGGCUGUUAGAUAAGUCUAUAAUUUAAUUUCAGUGCUUAACGCUGUCUUGUUAUAGAAACUGUCUUGACUAGAGUGAGAUAGAGGCAAGCGGAAUUCCAUGUGUAGCGGUAAAAUGUGUAAAUAUAUGGAGGAACACCAGAAGCGUAGGCGGCUUGCUGGGUCUUUACUGACGCUGAGGCACGAAAGCGUGGGUAGCAAACAGGAUUAGAUACCCUGGUAGUCCACGCCGUAAACGAUGAGUACUAAGUGUCGGGGUAAAACUCGGUACUGAAGUUAACACAUUAAGUACUCCGCCUGAGUAGUACGUACGCAAGUAUGAAACUUAAAGGAAUUGACGGGACUCCGCACAAGCGGUGGAUCAUGUUGUUUAAUUCGAAGAUACACGAAAAAUCUUACCAGGUCUUGACAUACUCUGCAAAGCUAUAGAAAUAUAGUGGAGGUUAUCAGGGAUACAGGUGGUGCAUGGUUGUCGUCAGUUCGUGUCGUGAGAUGUUAGGUUAAGUCCUAAAACGAACGCAACCCUUGUCGUUAAUUGCCAGCACAUAAUGGUGGGGACUUUAACGAGACUGCCAAUUAAACAUUGGAGGAAGGUGAGGAUUACGUCAAAUCAUCAUGCCCCUUAUGAUCUGGGCUACAAACGUGAUACAAUGGCUGUGACAAAGAGUAGCUGAAACGCGAGUUUUUAGCCAAUCUCAAAAAAGCAGUCUCAGUUCGGAUUGAAGUCUG
RNAcentral lists this ribosomal RNA (1102 nucleotides) under Brinjal little leaf phytoplasma. RNAcentral's name for it is "bacterial SSU rRNA". It matches the Rfam family "Bacterial small subunit ribosomal RNA", at positions 192 to 1307 of the family's 1533-position model. Lineage: Bacteria; Bacillati; Mycoplasmatota; Mollicutes; Acholeplasmatales; Acholeplasmataceae. The record is from RNAcentral.